AGAGUUUGAUCCUGGCUCAGGAUGAACGCUGGCGGCGUGCUUAACACAUGCAAGUCGAACGCACCUUCGGGUGAGUGGCGGACGGGUGAGUAACGCGUGGGAAUCUGCCCUCAGGAGGGGGAUAACGGCUGGAAACGGCCGCUAAUACCCCAUAUGCCGAGAGGUGAAACGAAUUUCGCCUGAGGAUGAGCCCGCGUCUGAUUAGCUAGUUGGUGGGGUAAUGGCCCACCAAGGCGACGAUCAGUAGCUGGUCUGAGAGGAUGAUCAGCCACACUGGGACUGAGACACGGCCCAGACUCCUACGGGAGGCAGCAGUGGGGAAUUUUCCGCNAUGGGCGAAAGCCUGACGGAGCAACGCCGCGUGAGGGAUGAAGGCCUCUGGGCUGUAAACCUCUUUUCUCAAGGAAGAAGACAUGACGGUACUUGAGGAAUAAGCCACGGCUAAUUCCGUGCCAGCAGCCGCGGUAAUACGGGAGUGGCAAGCGUUAUCCGGAAUUAUUGGGCGUAAAGCGUCCGCAGGCGGCCCUGUAAGUCUGUUGUUAAAACGUGGAGCUCAACUCCAUUUCAGCAAUGGAAACUACAGGGCUCGAGUGUGGUAGGGGCAGAGGGAAUUCCCGGUGUAGCGGUGAAAUGCGUAGAUAUCGGGAAGAACACCAGUGGCGAAGGCGCUCUGCUGGGCCAUAACUGACGCUCAUGGACGAAAGCUAGGGGAGCGAAAGGGAUUAGAUACCCCUGUAGUCCUAGCCGUAAACGAUGAACACUAGGUGUCGGGGGAAUCGACCCCCUCGGUGUCGUAGCCAACGCGUUAAGUGUUCCGCCUGGGGAGUACGCACGCAAGUGUGAAACUCAAAGGAAUUGACGGGGGCCCGCACAAGCGGUGGAGUAUGUGGUUUAAUUCGAUGCAACGCGAAGAACCUUACCAGGGUUUGACAUCCUGCGAAUCCCUUGGAAACGAGGGAGUGCCUUCGGGAGCGCAGAGACAGGUGGUGCAUGGCUGUCGUCAGCUCGUGUCGUGAGAUGUUGGGUUAAGUCCCGCAACGAGCGCAACCCACGUCUUUAGUUGCCAGCAUUCAGUUGGGCACUCUAGAGAGACCGCCGGUGAUAAACCGGAGGAAGGUGUGGAUGACGUCAAGUCAUCAUGCCCCUUACAUCCUGGGCUACACACGUACUACAAUGCUACGGACAAAGGGCAGCAAGCUCGCGAGAGUUAGCAAAUCCCAUAAACCGUGGCUCAGUUCAGAUCGUAGGCUGCAACUCGCCUACGUGAAGGAGGAAUCGCUAGUAAUCGCAGGUCAGCAUACUGCGGUGAAUACGUUCCCGGGCCUUGUACACACCGCCCGUCACACCAUGGAAGUUGGCCAUGCCCGAAGUCGUUACUCCAACCCUUGUGGAGGAGGACGCCGAAGGUGGGGCUGAUGACUGGGGUGAAGUCGUAACAAGGUAGCCGUACCGGAAGGUGCGGCUGGAUCA
This 1470-nucleotide ribosomal RNA is filed under the name Cyanobium sp. Y0011. RNAcentral describes it as "bacterial SSU rRNA". It matches the Rfam family "Bacterial small subunit ribosomal RNA". The record is from RNAcentral. Lineage: Bacteria; Bacillati; Cyanobacteriota; Cyanophyceae; Synechococcales; Prochlorococcaceae.